Mercenaria mercenaria is the source of this 3853-nucleotide long non-coding RNA. RefSeq lists it as uncharacterized. The record is from RefSeq and is a predicted model, not a curated record. The transcript has 2 exons. Lineage: Eukaryota; Metazoa; Mollusca; Bivalvia; Venerida; Veneridae.
UUCUUACAGGUCAAAUAAAUCAUACGGGUAUCCUGUAACCAUUAUUCUAUACCUAUUUCCCUUUACAAAUCAGCGAUUCCCAGCGGAAACACAUUGUCAGUACAAUGAUGUAUUGGACGUCGACGCGCCAGAUAUAGGAUCUACAGCUUUCGUUUGCAUUUUAUACCUGUGUUUCUACAGAUGUUCAUCUUCAAUAACAAUCAACCUUUUAACGGAACCCUUCUAUGCAGCAUUUGGACGAAUAUCCAACCGGUUGUCACUAACAUGCAUUAUGAUUUCGGACAACUUCACAGUUGAUAUAGUCCAGAACUGUUUUUUUUUUAAAUUCUCAAAAGCGAAGAAACUCAAUGGAGAUUAGUCCCUAGCGUGUAUGGUGAUUGGUGGGAACGGCUUAUUGGACUUACUGAAGCCAUCAUUAAGAACGUUCGAGACCAUUCAUUGUCACGCAAUAUGGUUACAGAAAUUGAAACGGUUAUGAACGAUAGACUACUCGCACAUACGUCGCAGUGGAUUGUACCGACCUAGAACCCCUGACGCUAGAAUAUCUCCGAGACUAUGAUAUAUCUUUUUACAUAUUUAUGAUUUAAUGUAGCAAACUGAGCCAAUGUAUGCCCAAUGUCCAAGUAUGUGAGAACAUCAUCAGAAGACAGGCAAGAAUUAGCAAAUGACCAAAGUUGGUGACUGCGUACAAAAUGCACGAUGAUGCUAAGAGAAACCGAUAGAAAUUUUAUACUAAAACGGACCUUGUCACAAGCAAUGAUUGACUUGCCGCGUACCGGGAACGAGCACGUGACAAGAGUUGUCAGUACUGGAAUUAAUUAGACAAGCUCAAGUAGAUCAAGUAGAGAGAGACCCUAAAAUUUUCAAUGAUAGUAAUACGUUAAAUAAAGUCUAGACAUUGAUUUCCAAGUCCAUAACCAAAAAUGAUUUCACAAAUAUGAAGUUUAUGAUAGUUUUGUUAAUAUCAAUAACAGAAGUUUUAAUUUUUGAUUUAAAGGUGUGAUCCACAAAGUAUGACAACUCUUGUCUUGGGCUAGUACUAUAUAUCUAUUAGUUUACUUCCCUUGCAAUUAUACAAUUGAGUGGAAAAUGAAAACUGUUGUAGACACAGUAUCAUACUUUUAUGCACAGCAAAAACAUUUAGGAUUUAUACAUUUGUGUUUCAUGUACCCCUCAAAACAUGGUUCCUAUGAUUCUGUCAACUUACAUAUGGUAAAAAAUUAACUUUUAACAAGCCAAUAAUAAAAUGAAGUACUUGUAAGUAAAUAAUAGUGCAGAUAAUACAGUUUUGCUUGUAUCAAAAUGUCACAAUAGAAGCACUUUUGUAAUACAGAACACCUGUUAGGAUCAGUAAAGGUGCAAUUAUAUUGAUCUCUAUUUCCUAUGCCUAUAUCAAGACAAUUUUAUGCAUCUGUGGAAUAGAUCUGUUGAUUUCAAUUAAUUAAUUCCAAUACUGACAACUCAAGUCAAUACCUUAAAACAGGGACAAAGUGAGUAUGUUUAAUCUUUAAAAAGCAAUCACGUAAACGUGGACUUUGACUCAUAAGAAUUUAUAUUCUAUACAACAUAUGUAGCCGUGUAAAGUUAUUUAAAACAUUACAGUUUGGUGUCGCGAGCAAUGGCAUUUAAAAACACAUCUGACGAAGUUUGGUUAGCUUGCUGGCGGAAAGUGAUUCUGCCAUGCGACCAGUUCAGACCAAGGUCAUGACCUGUACUGUUUGAUAUUCAGUCAGUAAAUUUUGAUUGAAAUACCCCCUUUGAAUAGUAAAUGAUGCUGCCUAAAUUGAAUGACUGACUUGUCCAUUUUAGAAAUUUAGCAGGUUAAGGUAAAAAAGAGCGGACAAAGUGAUUACGCGUAUAUCUUGUGAAAUGAGCUUUACACGCUGAUGCUUUUUCUUCAACCUGAAGAAUAUAUACAUUUCUUAGGUACAUGUGAAUGAAAGAUAUUAUUGAUCUUGGUAAUUUAUUAUUGAUGAAAACUGGCUAUAAAUAUACUACCGUUAUAUCUUGAUUAUUGAAUUAGAUAAACUGCGCAAUUUAUUUUAACGCAUUUUACACUACCCAUGUUCCAUUAAAACAUGAUAAUCGAGAUUCAUUUUCUUUAAAAAAGUAAAUAUUAUAUUCGUAGAUAAAUACGAAUUUUAUUAAGGCCCGUAUUGAAAUUGAACUGACCGUUAUCUACUGAGUUUUUAUUAUUAUAUUUUUUGAAUAGCUUCAGUUCAUCGAAUAAAUGCUCUUUAAAUGUAUAUUAUUCUGGAUUCCAAAGUAUCAAGAUUUUCGAAAACUUGAAAACUGAUUUCCCAACAAAUUUUCACUUGACAACGAAAGAGAACGGAUCUAAAACAGCUUGAGAAAGAAAGGUGCUUGUUAGAUACUAAAUAAAAGAGAAAACACAGAAUGGGAGGCAAAUGUUGUUCUGCAGUUUUAUGGUGUCUUGGAAUAACCUGCUUCAUUGUCGGAGUUGUGUUUGACUGGGUUAACUUCGUUGAACUACGAGCAAAUGAUGAAGAGAUUGAGACCACCGAUAACAAAGCUUGCGACUUUGCCCUGAAUGAAUAUCACUGGAUUUUCAUGACUUCUGUAAUAUGUAAAGUAAUAUGCGGCAUAUUGGAGUAUGGCUUUGGUGGAUAUGCACUAUGGAAGAGUGGUAGCGACACUAUAUAUGACACCUUGUCUUUGUUGUUUAAUGUGAUAACCACAGUUUUUCAAGCAGCUGAUUUACUUCUGUUGGUGCUAUUUACGUACAAAUGCCUUUCCCCAGACAGGACACAUCAUGUGGAUGUUUUUAUAAGCGACGAAAACGAUGACUUUGUAGCAAGUGUUUUUGGAACAGCUGGAGUUGUAUUUAACUUGACAAUCAAGAAAAACAUUUUAACUAUAUUCAGCACCUUAUGUUGCUUCCCUUGUUCAGAAAAAUCUAGCGGAUGCCACCAAUUUUUGUCAUUUCUUUCUGUGGUUUUGAUUAUUGUGUGUGUCGGCCUUGCAGUUGCCCUACUGCUUAAAAUUGGAUAGUUUUAUGAACUUUAACCCUUAUCAUGCUGGACACGAUUGAUUUUGCCUUUGCGGCCAGUGCAGAACUUGAUCAGCCUAUACAUAUCAUCUGUCUGAUCAAGAUCUGUAUUGUUCGCAGUUCAGUCAAUAUGUUUUUGGCAAACAUACCUUUUUACAAUUAAUGGUAAUGUCGAAAUUGAAAGAUGGAAAAAAUCAUUAUAAAAAUUUAACAUGGUAAGGGGUAUGAGAGUAGAGAUAACACAUGCUUUUUCGUUAGCUUUACGACAUCUGAAGAACCAAGUGGGAAUGGUUAGUUCCCGAAUCAACAUAUCCCGAAAGACUAGUUGGCUCCCGGGUCAACAUAUCCCGAGGGAUUGGUUGGUUUCCCAGUCAAGAUAUCCCGAGGGAGUGGUUAGUUCCGGAGUCAACAUAUCUCGAGGGAUUCAAAAACAUGCGUUAACAUAUUUACUAUCAUAAACGUGUGAAAAAAAGAUAUAAUGUCAAUCAGCGUCACAUGAAAUGCACGGACUAUCAGAGUUAUCUGAUUACGUUGACGUCAUAUCCGUUUGAAUUAUACGUUCUGCUACGGAACGCGCAUAUGUAAAACGGUGUUUUAACCGCGCGUGAGAGAGAAAUCUAUUUUAUGAAUGUAAAACCAAUUUUUAUACGAAGGAAUGUUGCACACAUUUUGUAUAACACGUUAGAUAAAGAAAUAAAAAUAGCUUUAUUGUAAUCAUUGAAUUUAGAACUUAAUGUACUUAUUAACAGGCAAAAAAUCAGUCGUUGAAAGUUGUUCAUUUAUUUCAUCGAGAUACAAACAAUGUUAGACAAAUAACGAAAUAAACUUUAAACAAACCUCUCA